AACGAACGCUGGCGGCAUGCCUAACACAUGCAAGUCGAACGAACCCUUCGGGUCUUUGCUCGCUCGGGUUCGUCACCCGUGGGAUUCUGCCCUUGUGUUUGGCCUACCUGUGAGAAUUUUCAGCUUAUACCUUAUAAUGUCUUCGGCCCAAUGAUUUAUCGCCGAGGGUUGAUCCCUCGUAGGAUUAGGUAGUUGGUUGGGUAAUGGCCUACCAAGCCCACGAUUCUUAGCUGGUAUGAGUGGAAGGUCAGCCACACUGCGAGUGAGACACGGCCCAGACGUCUACGAAAGGGAGCAGGGGGGAAGAUUGGACAAUGGGCGAAAGCCUAAGGCAGCAAUGCCGCGUGAGUGAUGAAGGAGGUAGGGUUGUAAAGCUAAGUUACCCGGGAUGAUAAGGAGAGAACCGGGAGAAUAAGCUCCGGCUAACUCCGU
This 432-nucleotide ribosomal RNA is filed under the name uncultured bacterium. RNAcentral's name for it is "partial 16S ribosomal RNA". It matches the Rfam family "Bacterial small subunit ribosomal RNA", at positions 29 to 506 of the family's 1533-position model. The record is from RNAcentral.